GACGAACGCUGGCGGCGUGCUUAACACAUGCAAGUCGAACGGAAAGGCCCUGCUUUUGUGGGGUGCUCGAGUGGCGAACGGGUGAGUAACACGUGAGUAACCUGCCCUUGACUUUGGGAUAACUUCAGGAAACUUGGGCUAAUACCGGAUAGGAUCUCCUGCUGCAUGGUGGGGGUUGGAAAGUUUCGGCGGUUGGGGAUGGACUCGCGGCUUAUCCGCUUGUUGGUUGGGUAGUUGCUUACCAAGGAUUUGACGGGUAGCCGGCCUGAGAGGGUGAACGGGCAAAUGGGGACGGAGAGACGGCCCAGAAGCCAACGGGAGGCAGCAGUGGGGAAUAUUGCACAAUGGGAGGAAGCCUGAUGCAGCAACGCCGCGUGCGGGAUGACGGCCUUCGGGUUGUAAACCGAUUUCGACUGUGACGAAGCGUGAGUGACGGUAAUGGGUAAAGAAGCACCGGCUAACUACGUG
This 468-nucleotide ribosomal RNA is filed under the name uncultured bacterium. RNAcentral describes it as "partial 16S ribosomal RNA". It matches the Rfam family "Bacterial small subunit ribosomal RNA", at positions 28 to 507 of the family's 1533-position model. The record is from RNAcentral.